Pseudoliparis swirei is the source of this 899-nucleotide long non-coding RNA. RefSeq lists it as uncharacterized. The transcript has 7 exons. NCBI's taxonomy places the organism in Eukaryota, Metazoa, Chordata, Actinopteri, Perciformes, Liparidae. The record is from RefSeq and is a predicted model, not a curated record.
GGCGAACAGUGCUGUCCACCCUAAAAGGCCUGCCAUCCUCUGGACAUGUCACUUGAAGAAGGUGAUGGGCAUCUCAUUUGGAAAUAUAGGCUCGGUGAAUUUCACCGUCUUCUCCAGGAACUGCGUCUGGAUGACUGCCGCUUCCAGCGCUUCUUCAGGCUAACCAGGAGCCAGUUUGAUGACCUGUUGGCUCGGAUCGGUGCUUGGAUCUCUUGGUUGGACACCAAUUACAGGCGUUCAAUCUCAGCUGCGGAGCGCUUGUCCAUCUGUCUCCGGCGAACAGUGCUGUCCACCCUAAAAGGCCUGCCAUCCUCUGGACAUGUCACUUGAAGAAGGUGAUGGGCAUCUCAUUUGGAAAUAUAGGCUCGGUGAAUUUCACCGUCUUCUCCAGGAACUGCGUCUGGAUGACUGCCGCUUCCAGCGCUUCUUCAGGCUAACCAGGAGCCAGUUUGAUGACCUGUUGGCUCGGAUCGGUGCUUGGAUCUCUUGGUUGGACACCAAUUACAGGCGUUCAAUCUCAGCUGCGGAGCGCUUGUCCAUCUGUCUCCGGCGAACAGUGCUGUCCACCCUAAAAGGCCUGCCAUCCUCUGGACAUGUCACUUGAAGAAGGUGAUGGGCAUCUCAUUUGGAAAUAUAGGGAACUGCGUCUGGAUGACUGCCGCUUCCAGCGCUUCUUCAGGCUAACCAGGAGCCAGUUUGAUGACCUGUUGGCUCGGAUCGGUGCUUGGAUCUCUUGGUUGGACACCAAUUACAGGCGUUCAAUCUCAGCUGCGGAGCGCUUGUCCAUCUGUCUCCGCGUACCACGUGUCAGGAAAUAAACAAGAAGACAAAUCUGCGAGCACAAGUCAAGUUUAAAGUAAAUAUCACAAACGAAACCACUCCAGUGGUACAUUCUUACU